AUUUAUGAUAAUCCUUCAAGUCAAGCUGGAAAAAAAUUCUGGGGAACAAAUUGCCUUUAUAGCAUGAAAAAGCAUGCUUUAAUCCUACUUAUCGUGUCUUAGAUAUUGAACUCUAAAGGCUUGUGUACUUUGUGAUGUUCAUGGUUGUGUUAAUGGACAAAUAAUACUAAUAAGCUGCUGUCUGGAGCAGUUUGAGUCAAGCAAGUGCUACAGGCUUGAAACACAAGAGUGUUAGAGACUUCAGCCAUGGAUGAUGUUAACUGAUGCUGAAUUUAGAAAUAUUGCAUCCUUAUUAAAUGUUUGUGCUGUCAGAUAUGCUGUGCUGCUUAACUGAUGAGAUAAUUUCCAAAAAACAUGACCUGAUGUGGGAUGCUCUCUUGUGGAACACUUUGGGGCUAUUUUCCCCUUGGAAAAAGGCUGCCUGUCUAUAGUGGCAGUAAAAUCCUUGGCUUUAACAUUCAGAUUCUCAGAAUUCAGAUCAAAUUGCCAUUAAUCUUGGAUAUGAUUCUUUCUUGACCAUGACGUUUCUGAAGGCCUGUAAAUGUCUGUCACUAGUUAUUACACCGUUACUUAAUCCUGAACACUAAUAGAUUACCUGGCAUUAAAGCUCUGCAGAAAUGUUAAGCGGAGAUUUUUUUAAAGUUUUUUUCAGAUGUGGACUGGAUUGCUUGGAGCAUUUGCAGAAACGAGACAGAGCUGUUGAGCUUCCAGGUUUGAAAGUACCCCUGCUGUAUAUGGAGUUUCAUGGUUGCUGUUUGCCUACAAAUUCAAGACAACAUUGCAUAGUGUCUGACCCAUGGGUGACAUUUAGAAGACUUUCUAUUAAAAGCCUGAAAUAUGAUUGAAACCUAAAUGCAAAUUUAAGUGGCCUGGGUAUCUGAUGUGACUCAUUGCUAUGGAGAAGCUGGGAUUCAUUCAGCCUCGAUGCACUACGUUGCUCUUUUGCCCUUAGAGCAAAUCACUUAAGGUGUCCUGUAUGUCACCAUUUCAUAUCCUUCUUAGAGCUUAAUGUUUGUGCUGCACUUUGAAGAUUUAUAGCCCUAUUCAAUCAUACUAUACUGUUGCAAAGGGUUGAAUGUUUUUGUGCAUCUGUUAAAGGUGUGAUCAGUACUUUAUGUGAACUGAAUAAUAAAGCUUAUGAAGAAUGAGUCA
RNAcentral lists this long non-coding RNA (1152 nucleotides) under Chloebia gouldiae (Gouldian finch). Its description in RNAcentral is "Erythrura gouldiae (Gouldian finch) lncRNA (ENSEGOG00005005282.1)". The record is from RNAcentral. Lineage: Eukaryota; Metazoa; Chordata; Aves; Passeriformes; Passeridae.